RNAcentral lists this long non-coding RNA (384 nucleotides) under Vombatus ursinus (common wombat). Its description in RNAcentral is "lncRNA (ENSVURG00010014361.1)". Lineage: Eukaryota; Metazoa; Chordata; Mammalia; Diprotodontia; Vombatidae. The record is from RNAcentral.
GCCACUGCGCAGGUUCAGCUCUUCCUCCAGCCCGUGGCUCGCUGAGCGCGUGGGGACCUCGGUCCAGCCCCUGCCCGGGCAGGCCACAAGAAGCCGGGUCUCUGAAGGGAUGCCAAAGCUGCUGGAGGAGGGCACUCCAAAGCUGAAACGGAACAUGGCUGCUGAUGAGCAUUCUUGGCAGACAGUGCAAAGGCACACUAGAACCUACAGACAGACCCCACCAUGUCGACAUUUCUGUUUCAACUGGACAACCUUUUUUAGAUCCAGUCAAAAAAAAUUAAAGACCAUCUGUUGUUAAUAAAGAAAGUAACUUGGACAGUGAAUGGCCUGAUGUUGCCUACUGAAAGAGGAAAAACCAAGUCUCUGUUUUGUAAUAGAAUGAAG